AGGUUUCAAAACUCGGGAUGUGAAUUUUGGGUUCAAAAUUUUUUUAAAAUUGUAUGUAAAAUAAAAUUUCUUUCUAUUUAAAAAUUUGAAAAGUAAGUUUACAGAAUACCGAGUCUUCGGUGUUGAUCUUAUAUGUACUUCUAACUUAGUUAAACUUUUAGUUUAGAAAAAAAACUCUGUUAUGAUUAAAACUACUCUGCAAUAGUUAAAGACUGUAACUUCAUAGAUUUUUCUGAUAACUUUUGAGUG
This 249-nucleotide long non-coding RNA is filed under the name Gossypium barbadense (sea-island cotton). Its description in RNAcentral is "long non-coding RNA (GBAR_LNC004244)". Lineage: Eukaryota; Viridiplantae; Streptophyta; Magnoliopsida; Malvales; Malvaceae. The record is from RNAcentral.